This 484-nucleotide ribosomal RNA is filed under the name uncultured bacterium. RNAcentral's name for it is "partial 16S ribosomal RNA". It matches the Rfam family "Bacterial small subunit ribosomal RNA", at positions 28 to 507 of the family's 1533-position model. The record is from RNAcentral.
AUUGAACGCUGGCGGCAUGCUUUACACAUGCAAGUCGAACGGUAGCGCGGGCUUCGGCCUGGCGGCGAGUGGCGAACGGGUGAGGAAUGCAUCGGAACGUGCCCCGUCGUGGGGGAUGGUCAGGCGAAAGCCGGGUUACUAAUGCUUACGACCUGCGGGGGAAAGAGGGGGACCGAAAGGCAUGGAGCUCUUGGAGCGGUGGACGCCGGAUUUGUUAGUUGGUGGGGUAAAGGCUUACCAAGGCGAGGAUCCGCAGCUGGUCUGAGAGGACGACCAGCCACACUGGGACUGAGACACGGCCCAGACUCCUGCGGGAGGCAGCAGUGGGGAAUGUUGGACAAUGGGGGCAACCCUGAUCCAGCCAUGCCGCGUGCGGUAAGAAGGCCUUCGGGGUGUAAACCGCUUUUGUGCGGGAAGAAAUCCUCUGGGCUAAUACCCCGGGGAGAUGACGGUACCGGAAGAAUAAGCACCGGCUAACUACGUG